CAAAAGGAGAGCCUGCUGAUGCCAACUGCCACGGACAAGUCUUCUAUACAAUCGCUGACAAUGUCAGCUCACAUUUGUGGAGUGCUUUCCAUAGAAGAGUCAGGGUACUAGCCAGCUUCCAUGCAUGGCCUCAUUUAAUCCUUACUACAACCCUAUAAGGUAGGUAUUAUUAUUAUCCCUGAUUUACAGAUGGGCAAAUUGAGACCUUCAGAUGCCAACUCGUUGCUGGAGGCCUCACAGUCCCUGUGUGCUUGACCUGAGCUUUGACACCAGGUAGGUCGCCUCAGAUCUUCUGGUCAUCUUUGGUUGGAGAGCAACACUCAGUUUCAUUACCUGAAACCUGUCUGUUGCCAGUGCAGUCACGAGGACAAAUAUUUAAAGAGAAAAUGAGGAAGUGAAGGAAGAGGUGUUCCCAUAGGUGGCCUGCCGUGAGCUUGUCACAGAUUUUCAGACUGGACCGAAUGGACUCUGGGUCUUGGGACCAACAGAUGAAUGCUGGUGAUCCUCUACUGGGUGAAAAAGGAAUCAAUCAACAAUACAGGUUCUGAGGAAGUCCCCUGAGUGUCAUAUCCCAAGGGAGAUGAAAAGCACCUGACAAGGGUUUAUGCUUGCUCUUCUGAGUUGCUCGAGAAAAUACAGGCUGUCCAGUGAAAUUUGAAUUUUAUUUAUUUAUUUAUUUAUUUAUUUAUUAAAAAAAUAUUUUUUCUUAAUGUUUAUUUAUUAUUGAGAGACAGAGACAGAGCAUGAGCAUGGGAGGGGCAGAGAGAGGAGAAGACACAGAAUCUGAAGCAGGCUCCAGGCUCUGAGCUGUCAGCACAGAGCCUGAUGUGGGGCUUGAAUUCACAAACCGUAAGAUCAUGACCUGAGUCGAAGUCGGACGCUUAACCGACUGAGACACCCAGGCUCCCUAAAUUAGAAUUUUAGAUAAAUUCAACAAAUAAAUUUUUAGUAUAUUUGUAUUUUGUAUAUUUGCAUUUAGUAUAUUUCCAAAUAUUACAGGGGAUAUACAGAUAUAUUUAUACCGAUGAAUUUUGUUGUUAAUUUAAAAUUCAAAUAGCACUGGGAGUCUUGUAUUUUUAUUUGCUAAAUCUGACAUCCAAGUUUCUUUCGGGAGAUAGCUCACAACCCAGGCAGUCUGUUAAUAAAGACAGGCUGGGUAGUACAGAUAGUGGGGCCUUUGAAGAAGGGAGAGUUCUGGAUGUAAAUCCAAGAAGGUAACACAAUCUCCUGGGUAACAGACUCAGUGGAAGAGUCCUUUUUUUCUUUUUAAUGUUUAUUUAUUAUUUUUGAGAGAGAGAGAUAGAGAACAUGAGCGGGGAGGAGCAGAGAGAGGGGGACAGAGGAUCCAAAGUGGACUCUGUGCUGACAGCAGUGAGCCCAAUGCAGGGCUCGAACUCACGAACCGUGAGAUCAUGACCUGGGCCGAAGUCAGAUGCUCAACCGACUCAUCCCAGCGGGAGAGUCUUUGUGAUGGGAAGGCUUCCUGGCACAGCUGGUUCUUAAUGAUAGGAGGGAAGGAUCCAGAAGGGUAGAGAGAGGGGAAGGCUCAAGGCAAUGUGGGGACAGCGAGCCAACAAGGAGAUGUCUAGAGGACCUUCAGGUUGGGGAGGACCAGAGGUGAAAGAUAGGUCUGUGGAGGGUCCUGAGUAUCCUGCUGGGGAUUUUGGACAAUGUCUUUUGGACAAGGAUGGGUGACCAGCUGAAGUAGUAUUUUAGGAAGGUUAAUCUGGUGAUGGCACCUAAGAUUGGUGGGAACGGUGAAUGGGAUGGUAGCUGAGCAUGAUGUGGUGAAGGUCUGUGGGAAACGGUGACCAGAAGGACAUUCCAAAGCAAUGGCCUCAUCUUUCAGGUAGAAUAUCCAGGUGCCCAUCAUGAAGAUAGGUGGCCUGAUGUGGCUGUCUCCUAUCAAGUGGGAGAUCUGGGCCCUCCUGGGUACAGAAGAGGAGAAGACACCCAUGGGUGCAGGAUCUCAGAGGGAAGAUUUUCAUGUUGGAGGCACCCUCCAACAGAAAUCUGUCACCACAGACUUGUUCUAUUCUACCCUCAUCUCUGCAACACGCACACGCACACACACACACAUACACACACACACACCACUGUUGCAUAUUCAGCUUGUAUAGGUUUCCACAGAGAGCGAACUCCUGUUUUAACCUCAGAUAAUAUUUACUAGGGACACAAUUUCAGCCUUGCAAUCUAUUGUUUUGCUUCCCUUGGAGCCAGUCUUUUAAAGAUUCAUUCCACUGCCAAAGCUGUCACCAGCUUGGCAUAUGACCCUUCUUCUGUGGGUCCUCCCACGGCUAAUACAACUAUUUCUUGUAAAAGGUUUUGAGAUCCUCUAAAGAAAAGUACUGGGGCAGCACGUAAGAUUACUGCUACAUGGCCAGCUUAUCCCUUGCUUUGGCCUUCGCACCAAGCCAAUCCUGAAAAGCCCACUCAGCUGUUCUAGGUUUUCCCAGAAGAGCCACCUGGGCAAGAAAGGAGAGGCCCAGACUUGUUGGACAUGGAAACUGUUCCAGCCCUUUCCUGGGACUGGGUGGGACAGGACAGACCCACAGGGGCAGGGCAGGAGGGAGGAGGCUCCUCCAGCAGGGGCCAGGCCCUGGGUACCCUGGCUCUAUCUGAUCUUCUCCCUACCCUGGGGCAAUUGAGGGCUGGGCUUACAGCAAGGGUGACUUUCCAGAAAGGCCUGGAGGAAGGGUGUGGCCCCAGUGAAGAAGGAGGGAGAACAUUACCCCCACCCCCCACCCCCGCCCCCCCAGCAGGUCUUCAGUUCUCGGUGAAAGUCAGGUGUUGAAACCCUAACUCAAACCCACCAUUUCCUGCCUCCUGCCUACAGGUCUUAGGCCAGGUGAUGGCCAUCUCUUUCUCCCACUGGGCAGAAUGGGUGUGCGUGUGUCUCAGUGUGUUCCCUGGACUGACCAAGGCCAAGGUGGUCUUGAGGGAACAACGGCUAGCUUGUUCACACCAGGACAGCUUGACCUUGGCAUCAAGGCGACCUCAACUUCAGUGGUGAGAAUGGGAGGGGGGAAAGCAGUGCGCAAACUGCCCAUUUAUCCUCACAGUGUCAGCCUCUUUCCCACGGGAAACACUCACGGGCUCACCCUGCCCUCACACCCCAGUGCCCAAGAGCUAAACCGUGCUGCCCGUCAGGGGUCCUAUCCCAGCCCCACAGCCCCGCAGCCUUUCCCUAUUCUUUCGGCAGCCCUGGCCUAGGUACCCUUUCCCCGAAUGCCCUUCCUCCAUCGACUUCUCUGCCUGGAGAACUCCUUAGCGGACAACACCUGUCCCGAAGUCAUCUCUUCCCUGAAGCCUGCCAAUUUCCUCCUUUGACACCUUCUUCUUAGGGCUCUCUUCUGUCCUCUGGGGAGAGAGCACGUGCAAAGCCGGUUGUCUGGGAAGCUCUGAGCCCCCAGCUUCCAGCCCCAUGCAAGUCUCCACCAUUGCUCCCUGCCACUUCCCUGAUCCAGCCUGAGUGCCCUGAAUGUGUGGGGCCUAGCCUGACUGGACUUUUAGGGUCUCCGGGAGACGAUGUCUAGCAACUGGGGCUUUCGGGUCCCUCUCGCGUUCCAGUGGCCUCCCCAGAGGUGGGCUGCUGACCAAGCAGGAAGUACCCAGGUCAGUGCCGGUGCACACCAUCUGUGGCUUGUCUCAGCCUCACACCCGCCUUCUCUGGCUCAUCUCUGAGGCACCGGGUUCCUCCUUUAUCCCCCAGACUCCUCCACUGACCGCUCCCUGGCCUUUCUUGCUGAGUCAGCCCUCCGCUAAUUGCCACCAGCUGGCCAGGCUGCCUUCCCGAGAUGCAGCGGGCUGCCUGCACUUGGAAGCUGACUCUGGGUGGCCCAAUGCUGGGGGAAUUGGCAUUGCUUCCCCCAGGGAAGGUUGGGGAGACAUCCCAGGCAGGCCUGGGGGUAAGGUGAGGUGGGGAGAAAGGCCUAGGAGACUAGGGGAAGGGCCUGGGGGACACCAAGGGUUCCCCUUCUAUUCUCAUAGGCCUUUCUUUAUAGUUGUGGUUCUCAAUGAGGUGGGUGAUUCCCUCUCCCCACCCUCACCUGCCCGGGGCAUCUGGCAAGGUCUGGAGAUAUUUCUGGUUGUCACAGCCGGCAAGCGGAGGGGAGAGGCUACUGGCACUCAGAGCGUGGAGGCUGCAGAUGCUGCUAAACAUCCUGCAAGGCACAGGACAGCCUCCACGACAAAAGAUUAUUUGGUCCACAGUGUCAACAGCGCCGAGGUUGAAAGACCCCACUUUAGAGAAAAGAGGCUGGGGCUGGCUGGGACGGUGGGCUCGAGUGGGUUUUCGUUCGUUUGGGGGGUGACUUGUUCUGAGGGCACCUGGGCAGCCUUCUCUGCCCCUUUUGGGUCCUCACGGGGAGCUCCUGGCACUCUCCACUGGCUCCCAUCCCGACCUCCAUAGUCCAGGCUGGGGACAAUUUCUACAGCCAGCAGAUAUUAUAUGCUGAGAAACACUCUUACCUUCCAUCAUUUUGCUCCAUAUCAGCCCAUAGUCUCGGAAAGGAAGCAAGGACUUUCUUCCCAUUCUUCCAAAAACGUUGGACAUAAAGGAGCCAUUUUUUCUUUUAUCGCCUGUAUGAUAAUUAUACUCACCACCACACACCGAUUGCUUAUUUUGCACCUGCAACUUCCACACACAUGAUAUGAUAUCGUUGUCACAACAAUGCUAUGAAAUGGUCACUAUUACUCCUUGGAAAAAAAAACCUAGCUGAGGUCCAGACCGGUUAUGUAACUUGCCCCAGUCAUGUAGGUAGAAGGGGUGCUGCUGAGAUUGGGACCAAGUCUCUGGCCCCCAAAUCGGUAAUGGGACACCCUCAAAGAUUUCUCCUGCAGGAGUCAGCAUCAUAGAGGAACUUUCUGUGUGAAAAGGACCACAGGGCCUCUUGUAUCUGCCAGAACUGUAUGGGUAUGGGUAGGGGUGACCAGGAGAGAGGCUUUGGGCCCCUAGGAAAGAGGAGGCUACCAGAGGACACGACCGAUUCCCGGAAGGGGUGACUAAUGCUGCCAUGAGUCAGCCUGGGCCUGGAAAGGGUCCUCUUCCUUCUCGGGGGGCCUAUGCUCUCUAGCCCUGGGGUGGAUCAGGUGAAGGACCAGAUGCCCCUCCCAGAGAGCAGUGGUCUGGCCCUCGUCUAUCCAGGCAUCAUCCGGGGAGCUCUUGCUGGGCUGCUGACUGCUGCUGGAGCUUGGAGGCUGCAGGAGGCAGGCGGUAAACAGGAAAUGGUUAAGUAAGAGCAGGUGGAACAUGCCGGGUGCUGGAGCAGGGCAGGAAAUAGCUAAGCGGCUGAAUGGACUCAAAAGAAUGCUCUGCCCUCCUCCCUGAGGCUUUGGCCAAGGGCUGUCCACCCACCCCUCCCUGCCCUGCACUGAGAGGCGCGUAGCCCAGCAGCCGCCUGACCCCCCACCGACCUCCUCCGUUCUGCUGGGGCUGGGAGGUGCUGGGAGGAGAGGGUCCAGGGUACCAGAAAGCCCAGCGGGGACUGAUAGGGCGAGAAGGAGGGGGUUCCUUCCCUUCAGGGUUGUGAGCCGGUCCCAUCUCCAGGGGCCCGGGUGUGAGGGGUUGGGGGUGGGCAGGCUCUCCAGGCCCCAGAGGUUGUUUUCCUCCUCCUGGUUCUUUGUUCCCUAGGCGGCCCUUUGUAUUGACUGGGGCUCCUACCCUGGGCUGCACCAGAACAGCAACAGUGGCCUGGGAUCUGGACAGAAAAGGCUGGGCGCCCCAGGGUGCUCUCCUGCUCUCCCCUUUGCUCCUUAUAGCGGUGGGUGCCCCGGAAGAGGGGUGACGCUCUCCUCCAAGGUGAGAUGAGGAGCCUGGGGUCAAGAAGUUGAGUGGCUCACGCAGGGAAAGGGAGCUGGGGCCUGAACCCCCCUUUUGCCUCCAUGCCCUUCCCCUGCCCCCCUCUGCACUUCGGUGCCUCUCCUGUCGAGAGAAUUGUCUUCUCUCUGCCCUGGAGUAAAAUCAGUGGUGCUCUGGGUAUUCUUUUGACCCCUUUCUCGGGGGACCUACCCUCAUGGGCAAACAGGGCUCUGCUUCCCAAGGGUCCUCUUGCAAGUGGGCUUCUCCACCCAGCAAAUGGUCCCAAUGCUCUGGUGUUGAAGUGUCACUGACACAUCACUGAGGACUCCGGGGCAUCCAGGUAUGAAUGCCAAGCCCAGGCCUCAGCAGGAAGGAUUCCCUGGGUACCUGACGGGUACACAGGGACACUGAGGCAGGUGUAGCCUGUUCCCAGUGCUGGUUGUUCCUUUUCCCCACCACAUGGCUCCUGGGUCCAGCAGUCUUGCAAUGGGGAGUUGAAGGACUUAGCUCCUGCCUGAGGGUUGGGGGAGCUGUUUUUCAGACAGCGGUGGAUGUCAAGGGUAUCUCAAUCCCCAAAUAAUGGUAAUGACCCAAGGUUCUAUUUAUUUACAGCCAGUAUAUAUUUAAGCAUGUACAUGUAUUUAUUGAUACAUGGAUUGACUCAUAUAAUGCCUACAGCAACCCAAAGAAGAGGCACUUUGUUAUUCCCAUUUUACAGAUGAGGACACUGAGGCAUAGAGAAGGGAAGUAGCCUGCCCUAGUGGUAGGGCAGCAGUGGGCUCAGGUACUUUGAAUUCAGACCUGGGCAGCUGGGUCUGGCCCACACUCUGGCCGCUAUGCUGUAUUGCUUGUGUGGGAGCCUUUGGAGGAAGCCAUGUCUGUUCUCCUCGAUGUCCCUCGUAAGAUCCCUAUUCUUUUUUUUUUAUUUAAAAAAAUUUUUUUUAAUGUUUUAUUUAUUUUUGAGACAGGGAGAGACAGAGCAUGAACAGGGGAGGGUCAGAGAGAGGGAGACACAGAAUCUGAAACAGGCUCCAGGCUCUGAGCUGUCAGCACAGAGCCCGACGCGGGGCUCGAACUCACGGACCGUGAGAUCAUGACCUGAGCCAAAGUCGGCCUCUUAACCGACUGAGCCACCCAGGCGCCCCAAGAUCGCUAUUCUUUAGGAAAAAUUCCUUGUCUCUCAGGAGCCAGAAUUUCCUGAACAUCCUUCAAUAUAUCUGAGGCUCUCUAGGUCUCUGAUUAAGAACACAAGAAAAGAGAAGGAGAAAAUAGCCGAAAAGCUUGUCACCUCUCCAGGCUGGGCCAUGAGCAUGGCAUCUUCCACCCGCCACUGUUUUGGGGCACGGGGGAAAUUCUGCCAUCAAUUCUGUUCAUUCAAGAGCCGUGUGUUGGCACCAACUUUGUGCCAGGCCCUGGGCUGGGCACCGGGAGGAGCCAGUUAAGGUAGACACACUGUGUGCCCUGGGGUGUUGGCGGUAGCAGAAGACUCAUUUCGUGUGUCUAUUGAUUGAAUGUGGUAGAUGCUCAGAUAGAGGGAAGGGUGCGGGUGGGGAGCGUGGAAGCAGAGAAUUGGCACUCGGCCAGCCUGGGAAGUCAGAGAAGUUGUCCUGCAGGUGAACAGGCUUAGCUGAACCUUGAAGGAUGAUCCAGGUUAACCUGGAGGAAGAAGAGGGGUGGGUGUGGGUGGCAGGGGUGAGGCCCUCCAGGCAGAGGUGACAGUGCAGGCAAAGGCGUGGAGGCCUGACAUGCUGAUGAAAGCAGAGCACAGAAGCACUUCAGCACUGCUAGAAGCAGAGCGACAGGAGAGGAGUCAGUGGCAUUGGUAUCACAGGGCCAGCGAGGCCACAUCAGGGCCCUGGAACUUUGUCAGCCUCUGCCUCCUGGCCUGGAAGACCCCUGCAAAGAGAAGGGACUUGGGGGGGAAAUAGUGGCAAGAAAAGGACUCACACUGUUUCAAGAGUUACUAUGAAGCUACAGUAAUCAAACAGUAAUCAAACAAAGAGAAUUCAAUGGGGGAAAGGAUAGUCUUUUGAAAAAAAAACGGUGCUAGAAAACUUGGACAUCCAUAAUGGGAAAAAAAAGGCCUUGGCUUAUAACUCAAAAAAUAUGAAACACAAAAACAUAGAAGGUAUGAAAGAAACAGCCUAAAAGUACAAAAGAAGAAAACACAGGAGAAAAAUCUCUAUGACUUGGGGUAGAUAAAGAUUCUUGGUUAUGACACCAGAGGCACAAUCUAGGAAGGAAAAAGUGGACCAAUUAGACUUAACCCAAAUUAAAAACUUUUGGUUUUCGAAAGACACUGUUAGGAAAAUGAAAAGACAAACCACAGACUGGGAAAAAAUGUUUGCAAAAUCUGUAUCUGACAGAAAGGACCUAUAUUUAGUAUAUAUAAAAAAAAUUCCCCAAACUCAGUAGUAAGAAAACAGUUCGAUUUUUGAAAUGGGCAGAAUAUUUGGACACAAAUUUCACCACAGAAAAAAUACGGAUGGCAAAUAAACACAUGAAAAGAUGUUUAACAUCAUUAAUCGCUAAAUUAAAAUCAUAAUGAGAAUCCACUAUAUACCUUUUAGAAUGGCUAAGAUUAGGGGUGCCUGGGUGGCUCAUUUUGGUGUGUGGGACCCUUGGUUUGGGCUCAGGUCAUGAUCUCAUGGUUCAUGAGUUUGAGCCCCGCAUCAGGCUCUGUGCUGACAGGGUGGAGCCUGCUUGGGUUUCUCUCUCUCUCUGCCCCCUCCCCUGCUUGUUCUCUCUCUUUCAAAAUAAAUAAAUAAACUUAAAAUAAAAUAGAUGGAUUUUACCAUAUGUAAAUUAUAUCUUAAUAAACCUGACUUAAAAAAAAACCACAGUGCAUUAGGUUAUAGAACUUCAUCUGAUAACUCAGUUCUAGGUCUGGGAGCUGGGGAGACUUACCUCAGGACCAGUUCCUGAUGGCCAUUCUGCCUCCUCAGACCCCACCCCAACCCUGAGAGCCUCAGCAAGCUCUGGCAGAAGCCUUGCUCUUUGUGAUUUCAGAGGGCUGGUAGGGGAACCAUUAAUGAACCCCUCCUCUGGAGUGUUGUGGUCCUUGUUUCUACUAAAUGCAAAUGCCCCGGGGAGGGUGAAUAGCUUAAGUUGAGGGAGGCUCUGGCAGAAUGAGAGAGGGGGAUGGCAGGAUGGAAAGGGAGACAGUUUCCAAGAGGUUGGAGAAGGGUGGGGGUGAGGGUGGGGGUGGAGGUAGGGGUAGGAAUUAAGUGUUCAGCUUGGUUGGUGGCACUGGGCUGUACCCAUGCUUUGUGAGCAUGGCGGGGGUGAGGGACUAGAAGCUACAUGGAGGGUAGACCCCCCCUCAUUGUUUUGGCUUAGUAUGCAAAAUUCUCUUUCCCCACCUGGCAACCACAGCCCCUGCCUGGGGUUCCUUCCCCGGCACCUUCUUCCUCCACUUCCUAACCAUCCAAUCCCAAGUACUGGUUACCCAGGCAGGUUGGGGGGAUGAUUUCCUUAUAGCAUCCAAACACAAAAGACCUCAGCAUCCUCUCACCCGCAUAUUUCCGCUCCUUUGGGUCCUUCAGGGUUCAGCUCACCUUAGGCAUUUCUGUCUUGUUGGAAAUUUCCUUGCUGAGAGGAACAGAAGGUCUGAGCAGGCAUCGGGGCCCCAGGCCUCAGUGGUCUUGUGAUGCAAAGUAUGGGGUGGGAGGAUUGGUUGGGGCAUCUGCUUGGCUUGUAUUUGUUUCUACAGCAUUCUCUGCAAAUGUGCCAUUGACUUUCCCACCACAGGGCCUUUGCACACGCUGUUCUCUCUCUCUAGGGCUUCACACUUUCUGAAGUUUAACUCCCCCUAACCACCAUUUACUAUGUCUUACUGUGUGCAUGGUAUGGAGAAUGCAGAAAGAAAUAAGACUAGUCUUUUUAUGGUAAAAAAAAAGACCACUUUAUGGCCUCUGGAGGUGGUGGUAAUAACAACGGCAGAGGCAACAAGAAAGGCAGGACCACUGAAGGAGGGGGUCACCCUGUGUCAGGCAUUUAUACAUACAGUGUCAUUCAAAACUUACAACAGUCCUGAACGCCUGUCAUUACUGUUAUUCCCAUUUUCUGAGGACACUGAAGUUCACAGAGGUGAAGUCGUUUGUUGAGCUGGCACUUGGCAGGGUUGGGACUCGGGGCCAGGCCUCUGGCUCUUCAAAGCCAUGUUUCUGACCAUAGCAGCUUCUCACCCUCUGCCCCAUGUGGAGAAAAGUCACCAUUCAAGUCCAACUCCACCCUGGCAGGUCUUCAAGUUGAUCUGCAUUGGAAGGAGUGAAAAACGAAGAGAAUGCUGGUCUAUCCCAUGGGGUGCAGGCCGUAGCUGGAGGUGCCAGCCCAAGACUGGGCAAAGGGGGGGCUGGGCACGGAUGCUGCACACCCUGGCCAGCCGGCCCCCACCAGCCCUGCAGAACCCUUCCCACUCAGCGUAUUCACAGGGGACAUUUUCCCAAGGUGUGAAAUACAGGACUGCCUGUUCAGGGGGACCAGAGGCUUUGGGAAGGCAUUCCGAGGAUGAGCCUCCCUGACUCGGUGCUCUUGCAUUGCAUAGUUUGGACAGAGGGAAGGCUUAUACUUGAUGUUGAGCCCAUAACAGACCGAUAAGUCAUGCUUGGGCUCCCAAAGUCCUGGUUGGGCUCUGCUGUCUAGGAAACCAAAGCUGAUCAUUCAUGAAUAAUGUGGGCGUGACAUUGUGUAACAGGGCUGGUUGAUGGGCUGGGGGGGUGACUCAUUUCUGGAGGCCUUGAAUCAGACCACUGUUAUUUCCUUUGGCUUCCAGUGGACCUAACCCAGACUCCCCUAAACACCUACCUGCUUCAGUCACUGAAUCAGAGAUGUGGGCUCUGGGAGGCUGUGGAGAGCUGUGGCCUUAAUGCGGGCCAAGGCCAGUUAGAGAAAGAUGCUCUCUAGGAGGUGACGUUACAGGCUUCACAGAGGGGCUGGUGGGACAACCCAGGAAGAGGGGGCUUGAUCCAGGUGAGGGUAUAGAUAUUAAGACCCCACAGGGCAGAAGGGAGUGCAGGGUUUUGGUUGGAGCCAAGAGAGCUCAGAGGGAAAAGAGACAAAAUGUGAUCCUUGAGAAAGAUUAGACUCUCUUUUCUCUCCUCCUCUACCCUCCUCUCAUGAGCCGGAGGGAGGGGAAGCAGAACUAAGAAGAGUCUCCGGAUAAAGGCAGCCUUUGGAGAGGACAGGGCUUCAUGCCUGCAUUGCAGCUGUCUUGAAAAUGUCCCCGAGUGAGACCUGAGCAGGCGGAGCCCGGAGCUGGUGAACUGAAUGCCUGUGUGGGGCCGUCAGGCCACCUGCAAGCAGGGGCUCCCACAGGAGCAAAGCAGGGUGACCCUCGUCCUGGGGUAGCUCCCUGAGGGCAGGGUGGAGUCUUGUCUUCUCAGUGCCUUCCUCCCUCCCUCCCUCUCUCCCUCCCUGCACACCAUCAGUGCAUGAUGAGCUUUGGACCCAAUAAGCAAAAGCUCAUCAAGAAGAGGCCCAGAAGAGGGCAAUGGAGGAAGAUACUGGAAGGGUGACUCUGCAGCAGUCACCAGACUGAAGAUGCCCUUGGAGCCAAGUGCAGAGGCCAAGAGGGACAGUUGACAAACUGUGCAAGUCCAAGUGGAAGGUGCCAGGCCACACACAGUGUCCCGUUAUGGUCAGGAAUGGUGCCCGGCUUUCAGGUCAGGAUCUCUCAGUUCGUUGGAUCGAGGCCAGCGUUGGGCUCUGCGCUGACAUCAUGGAGCCUGCUUGCGAUUCUCUCUCCCUCUCUCCCUCUGCCCCUCCGCUGCUUGAGUGCACUCUCUCUCUCUCAAUAAACAAACAAGCAAACAAACUGAAAAAAAGGAACGGUGCCCGGCUUUAAGCAAAUUCGGGAUGUGUGGUAAUUAUCCAAAUUAUCUCGAUUGUAUGAAAAACACUGUACAAAGAUGGACCCCUCCUGAGACAUCUAAAAUUAUUACUUGAAUUGUGCCAUUUUAGCACCCAGACAGCUUUGGGGGAACAUAUCUAAUGCAUGAAGCCUGUUGUGGUCACAGAAAAUGGACGAAUGACAGGUUAUUUAACUCCUGGGUCUUUGUUUCGCUACCCAUCUCAUUCUGGGACCUCAGAAGCCUCACGCCCAGGACAGUUUGCUCCACAGAGAGCCUGGACCCCCUCUAGAUGACACAGGCUGCAGAAAUGGGGGUUGUGGGCAUAUGGUCCACAGGCUGGACCUGGGCUGGGAGGUCUAUACGCGCUGCAGCAGGAAGCUGAAACGCUGACAGGGUAGGUAGGCUUCCUUGCUUUGGGGCACCAGCCCAGGCUGGAAGGGACUUAGGGAGCCUUGUGCCACCCCUUCUGGAGAUUUCCUCCUCCUGUAAGAUUGUAAAGGCUGCUCUGUGGCUGUGUGGCCUCGGGCAGCAUGGUCUGCUCCUGCUCCUUCCCACCCCCUGUCUAUAUACACUGCCAAGCCCUGUGUAGUUUACCUGUCUCCCUCACCUCUUUUCUGGGAGAGAGGCGGUUCCAUUCAUGGGUUGUACUGAUGAUCGAAUCCAAGGGGUUGGAGAGAGAGAGUACUUUCUGAGAGACGCCUCUGGGAGAACAGCCCAUCUGACUCAGUGUUUCCUGGUGGAGCGGGGUAAACAAAGCAGGGUCUGAGCACAGGUCGUCAUACAAAGAAGCCAGAGGUGAGGGUCAACAGGACGGUGUGGGUUAGAACACAGCAUUCUACUCUCUUUCCCUACAUUGUUCCCUACCUUCCUUGGCCCCUCUUGGCUGUAUCCUCUGAAGCUUGGCCACAACUCCCAGGUUCCUUGGUGUGGUAUCCACAGCCUUGCCCCCUGCCCUCGCAGGCUGAUCUCCCAACGCCUCCCUCCACACUCUCAUGUGCUGGCCAUCCCCAUCCACCUCAUCUGGGCACCAGUGGUGGGCUUGGGCGCCUCCAAGCCUUUGCACCUGACGUUCCCUCAGCCUGAAACACACUUGUUUCUCUGACAAGCCAUUCAUCUUUCAAACCCAAAUCAAAUCUCCCUAUCUGGAGUCUUCCCUGGAUCCCCACAGACAGGGUUAGGCAGCCUCAGGGAGAGUUGCCAGCCUCACUGAGAGAUGGUUGACCUUGCUGCACUGUAAUUAAUCGUUGGCCCUACAGUCUGAUGCCCCCAUCAGAGUCAUUCUCCCCUCAGGAGCGCCUGCUGCAUCUGGCAGUAGUAAGCCCUCAAUAAACGGUCCUGUGAAUGAAUGAAUAAAUGAAUGAACGAACUAGUGGCAGCUUGAGAAAAGGAAACAGAGAUGUCGCCUUCAUGGGGAAACCUGCUUCUGGGAACCUUAUUUGGGGUGUCCUCUCUAGCGGUGGGCUGCUUCAGGCACCGCUUCUCCUCCUCCUGCCCUCAGGGCAGAGAAGUUUCUCAAGAUGCUGUGCCACCUGCCCCACCUCCUCCAGGGACUUCUUCCUCGCUGCUUGCUGGUGGCUCUGCUGGUCAGUCCAAGGCAGCACUUGUACAUUUGUUGGGGACUUACUGCCCAAGAAAGCCUGGGAAUCUGGUGUGGGUUAGAUCGGAGGAAGGACCUUACUCUCUGCAGUGAGACUGGAGAGGAAUGCCCAGAUGUUGCAGCAAGCAGACAGGAAGGGGAGGUUCGGCGGGGGGGGGGGGGGGGGGGGGGGGGGGGGGGANNNNNNNNNNNNNGGGGGGGAGGGGGGGGAGGAGGGUUGGGGGGGAAAUUGGGAAAUCUUAAGGACAAUUGAUUGAGCUGAGGUUGGGAAGGAGGGGACUUUGGGGGUGGUGGCAGGGCUGGGGAGGAAGGGAGUGAAUGUGUGGGGCUGGAAGUGGGAAGGGAAGGUGUUGGUGAGGUUUCACUGGGAGGGAAGAAGGGAACCAGAAUGCAGGUGGCUCAGAGGCCCAGCUCUGCAGCAGCUGAAUAUUCAAUGCCCGCAAAGAUUCGGAGGGAGAGCUGGAAAGAGGAAAUGAAUCAGGGAAGCACAGGGGCCGGGAUCUUAGUGGAGGGCAGCAUAGUUUGGAAGUGCUAACUGCCCGAGAGGUUGCAGGGCCCAUUGGCAGAGGAGCCGGAAAUAGACUUUAGGACACUGCCAGGCCAGUAAUGGUUCUGGAUAUUCUCCCUUUUCCUCACAACAGGGCCUCUGGGAACCUGAGGGAUUUGGGUCUAGCCCCCUGAGGGAUUGCCGCCCCACACUGCUGAGGAGUGCCAGCGGCCUGUUUCCUCACCUGCCCCCCUCCCCNNNCCCCCCCCCCCCCCCCCCCCCCCCCCCCCCCCGCACUCCCCCUCCUCAGCAGUUUAUAUACUAAUAGCCCACAGCACCCCAGGAGGGGGCGAACGGGGGUCCAUUUGUUUUUCCAGAGUUUGACCUCUGGGUAAAACUCUUCCCCCAAAAUGUGCCGGUUUAAGUGAAAGCGAUAAAUCAGCCCCUUUGAAAUGCAGAAGCAGCUUGGGGAAGCCCCCUUUGAUAUGCAGCUUGGAAACGGGGCACUUAAAACCUGGGUUAAUUCUCCAGCUUUAUUGGAGGCCGAGAAAGGGAAGAGGAGGAAACCCAGGGCCAGUCAUUAAGUCUGGGGCACUUGAAAGGCCCGGGGCAGGGGCCGAGCGGCCGCAAAGAGAUCACGAAGGCGCAGCGGCCCUGGGAAAAGCAUCUCUGUCCGCGACAAACUCUAAUCCCGGUUCCCACCCAGACAGAUGAGACGCGGGGGGCGGAGGGUGGGGGGAAGCGGUGGAGAGGAGGGGCGGGCAGGCCGAGAGAGGCUCCCGAGGAUGGGGAGGCGGUUGCUAUGGAAACCGAGCCGGGGCGCCACAGAGGAGAAAGCCAAGGGCCAACUUGGCAAUUUCCUGAAAGAAGCUGAAAAUUUGAGGGAGUCUGUGUCUCAGUCCCUGGGCUCUCAGAGGCCGGGGGGCUGCAGCCCCACCACAGGAGCCAGGCGGGUGGCUUCCCUGCUGCUGCCUCUGGGGGCCCUGGUCUGGGCCCUUCAUUAGAAACAUCUGCUCCUGGUGGCAAUCCCAGGGCGGCCUGAGGGCUCCGUGAAGUUUUCAGGCAGGGCUGGGGCGGUGGGGACACACGACAUCCACAUGGCACUUCCAGAGUGGGGAGAGGCUGAGUGAGGAGACACGAGAGGCCCUGACACCACUCGGUGCCAAUGAGGUGACCCUGCCUCCUGGCUUUCAGGAUGGUUCCCACUGCUGUCCCCACCAGUGAUGAGCCCAUGUCUUGUUCGUGUCAGGCAGAACACUCCAAUGUGAGGCUGGGGAAAGCAGUCUGGUGACUCCGUAGGGGCAUUCCCUAGGGCUUCUGAAAUGUAGUGCCCAUGGCUGGUGGCCAGUCCUGCCUCCUCCAAAUGGCCGCGGCCACUGCUGUGGCCUGUGGCCUGUGGGUGGGAAGAGUGGGAGACAAUUUGGUUGUUGCCUUUUCACCCCUGCUCUGCUUGGUAAUUUUUUGUUGUGUGUUGUUUUUGAAGGGGGAGGUAGGUGGGUGGUGCAGGAUGAGAACCAAAAAAGUAAAAUCCUGACCCUUCAGAGCUUGGUCCUCCCAUUUCAGACAGGCCAGGGUGGACGUCGGCUGAUAGGCUUUUGUUAACACGCUUUCGCCCUCUGACCUUGGGGUGCUGAGUUCUGAGGAAUGAAUGCACUCAUCCAGCAUUGCCCCACACAGGUCCUGGCUCAGUGGGCUCGGGGUGUGCAUACAGAGAUGCUCGGCCAGUGGCAGAGGUCUUUUCUGAGCCCCCAACACAUCUCCCCCAUUCCUCCCUCAUUGCAGGAAUCCAGAACCCAUGUCUAUUUGGAGGAGUUUCACCCGUAAGUGCGCCUCCCACUCAGAUACCAGCCCACCUUGGGCCAAGCAGGGCCUGGUGGGGUAGAGGUGGGGUGUGUGUGUGUGCUAGGAUCUCCCAAAGCCUUUUCCUGUGUUUGAACAACAUGCUUACGAUUGUAGGCCUAUCGCAGGUCUCAGGCAAGGAGUCGACUAAAUCCAUCGCAGAAAUGACUCACUUUAAACUCUUAACAGGGCAGGCUGAGAGCCCCUGGAAGGGAAGAGCAAAGCAGGGAUUUUUCUGUCUGCCACUCCCCACCGCUGAAGGACAUGAGAGAGAAGGGGCAAAGGACCGGGCCCAGCUCUCAUAGAGCUUCUGCCCACCUCCAAGUUCCUGUCCUGCCCUUGGCGUGGCCAAGAGGAGGGAGGCUUCCCGGUGCCAUUUUAUCGUGCCUCUCUCUGGACUAAUCACCUUUAGUCUCCAGAUUAAAUAAAAUUAAGCAACUCUGGAGCGUUUCACCAGGGUUACAGCAGCAGGAGCUGGAAUACACAAGCCAGCUUCAUGGCUUUCUAGAACUCCAGGGGAGAGGCACCAUUUUGUUCUCUCUUCCUCCUCAACUGCAGGGAAGGAGGGGCUGGGGAAAGGGGGGUGGGGAGUCACGCUCACAGAAUGCCUGCUUGGAAGCAGAGCCAAGGGGGGUUAAAAAAUUCGGGGAGGACAACUGGAGAUACAGUCCACUGAAGGCCCCACAGACAAAGGGAAAGACGAUGGAAAAAGAGGAGGUACGUGGGUCCAGAAAAAAGGAAGGCAGGAGAGAAAAGGCAGACCACAGUGGCUGGGGGAAUGUCAGAGCCAACCCCUGGUCAAAGGCCAAAUUCAUUUUGUCUGAGGUGUUGCUGGGAAAAAGGCCGGUGGUGGUGAUGGUGGGGUGUGUGUGUGUGUGUGUGUGUGCCUGCCUUUGUGUGUGCAUGAGACAGGAGCCUGUGUACCUACACAUACACACACACACACACACACACACACACAGCUAUUGGGUAGGUCUGUGCCAGAAGCUGCUGCAUUCCUCUUAACCCCAAAGCCAGCCCUCUUUCCAAAACGCUUUCUCAUUAUUUGCAGGCACAUUUCCCCCCACCACACUCGGCUCUUGUUUCUAUAUUUCUAUGUGCUUGCUGCACUCGAGACUCUUCCCUGCUCUGUAAUGCAACUGUAGAAACACCUGCAUUUUAUUAAUGCUGCCUGGAGCCGGGUAGGGCUGGGCCCCUCUGCUCUCACCCCCUGCUCUCCUUCUCCACCACGCUCAGUGAAGCAAAGCACCAGCGUUAACCCUGUGUGGCUGGGUCUCUGUCCCGGAGCCCUGGGUACCCUGAGGGGUGCAGACUGUGCGAAGAGGGGGUGACCUGCAACGUCCCUGAGCUGACUUAGCAUGCGUUCAGGAACCGCCCCGACUCCCUGCUUUCCUUGUCCUAAACUUCUGAUCUAUUUCUCUUAUCACUGCUCCUCAGUUUCUCUCUCCAGAAUGUGAGGACACCAUUUUGUCUUGGAAGGAAUCCUGGCAAACUUCUAAGAGAAACUCCUUAAGAAGCCUGGCCCUUUAAGUAUCUACUCCAUCCUCUUGAGGAGCCAUUGAGACUAAACCAUUCCAGAAAAAUAGCUGCUUUCCUCUUUAAAAUAUUUUAAAUAAGGAAAGCAUAAAGAAUAAAAAUGGCCCAUAAUCCUAUCACCCCGAGAGUCCUGUUAACAUUUUUUUUUAAUGCAAUGCACGCACGUGGCUAAAACAGAAAAGCUACGAGGUAUAACAUGAAACUUAAGUUUUUCUUCCCUCAGACCACAGUUGUUCCUCCCAAAGGUAAUAAUCAUUAACAGUUUCUUGUGGAUCCUUCCAGGGAAAGAAUUUGGGUAUAUAUUGACAUCUUGGUUUUUUUUUUUUUUUAAUUAAAAAAAAAGUCUGGAAUUCUUGCCAUAUCAGCACAUGGAGAACCCCUUUGUUCUUUUUAAUGGUUACAUGUUAAUUUGUAGUAUGGCUGCACCAUAACUUAUUAACCAGUCUCCUAGUAAUGGGCUCGGAGGCUGCUUCCAGUUUAUAAACUUACAAACAUUGCUGUAGUGAGGAUCUUUGGACACAUGCCUUGGGUAUACGUGAAUGAGUAUAUAAGCAGGGAGAUUCCUACCAGGGCAGUUGCUGAAUCAAAGGAUGUGUUUAUUUAGCAUUUGUCUACUCUUUUUUAAAAAGAGGUGUUUUUUUUUUCCCUGCCCUUCUCCAUUUUUUUUUCUUUCUGUCAGGCAAACUCCUGGUCCUCAGAAUCUGGCCCAAAUUUCAUCUCCCAUGUGAGGCCCUCCCUGAUUGAUCUGGGAGCCCGCUGGCAUCCUCUUCCACGCUUCCUUAACUCCCUUACCUAAGCCUUAUUGUAAUUCAAUUUUUUAAAGUGUUUGCUCUCCACACAGGAUUGCAAUAUGAGCGCAUUGACAUCUUUUCUCUUGGAGCACAAUGCUUUUGUCUCUUGAAAAUUUUUCUUGGGGGGGCACCUGGGUGGCUCAUUUGGUUAAGUGUAUGACUUUUGAUUUUGGUUCAGGUCAUGAUCUCAUAGUUUGUGAGUUUGAGCCCCGCAUUGGGCUCUGCCCUGACAGUGCAGAGCCUGCUUAGGAUUCUCUCUCUCUCUCUGUCUCUCUCUCUCUCUGCACCUCCCCUGAUCAUGCUCUGAAUCUCUCUCUCUCUCUCUCUCAAAAUAAAUAAAUACACAUUAAAAAAAAUUGGAGGCACUUGGGUGGCACAGUUGAUUGGGCAUCUGACUCUUGAUUUUGGCUCAGGUCAUGAUCAACAGUUCGAGCCCCUGUCAGGCUCUGUGCUCACAGCACAGAGCCUACUUAGGAUUCUGUCUCCCUCUCUCUCUGCCCCUCCCCUGCUCACAAGCUCACUCUCUCUCUCGAAAAAUAAGUAAAUGAACAUUUAAAACAUUUUUUUCUUUGUGCGAUUGCAUUCUUGGGUAUAUACCCAAAAGACCUGAAAGCAGGGACUUGAACAGAUGUUUGUACGCCCAUGUCCAUAGUAGCACUAUUCACAAUAGCCAAAAAGUAGAAACAACCCAAGUGCCCAUUGACAGGUGAAGGGAUGAAACGUACAGUAGUCUCCCUUAGCUGCUGUUUUGUUUUCCAUGGUUUCAGUUGUCUGUGGCCAGUUGUCUAGAAACAGAUGAUACUCCUGAUGUAUCUUCAGGGGGUCGGUAGUAGCCUAACACUGCGUCACAAGGCCUAGGUCAUUCUCCUCACUUCAUCUCAUUACAGGGGCAUUUUUAUCAUCUCACAUUAUCACAAGAGAAGGGUGAGUCCUGGGCAGUAAGAGAUUUUUGAGGGUCACCGUAGCCACAUAAAUUUUAUUGCGGUCUAUUGUUGCAAUUGUUCUAUUUUAAUUUUAGCUGUUACUAAUCUUUCACGAUCUCUGAUUUACAAAUUAAACCUCAUCGUAGGUAUGUAUGUAUCAGAAAAACCUUAUCUAUCUAUUCUUGAGGGAGAGGGGGAGAAGGGCAGAAGGAGAGGGAGAGGGAGAAUCUUAAGCAGGCUCCACACCCAUUGGGAGAUCAUGACCUGAGCCAAAAUCAAGAGUUGGACGCUUAACCGACUGAGCCACCCAGGCACCCCUAGGGAAAAAUGUAAUACAUACAUAUACAUAUACAUAUACAUAUAUUAUCCAUGGUUUCAGGCAUUCACUGGGGGCCUUGGAAUGUAUCUCUGUGGCUAAGGUGGGGGGACUCGUGUGUGUGUGUAUAUAUGUGUGUGUGUGUGUGUGUGUGCAGAUAUAUACAUGUAUGUGUGCAUAUAUAUAUACAUAUAUGGUUCAACCUUAAAAAGGAAUUGUGACACAUGCUACCACAUGGAUGAACCUUGAAGAUAUUGUGCUAAGUGAAAUAAGCCAGUCACACAAAAAAGGGAAAUUUUGUGUGAUUCCGCUGGUAGGAGGUACAUAGCAUAGUCAAAUUCAUAGAGACACAAAGUAGGAUGUGGCUGCCAGAGGCCGGGGAGAGGGAAUGGGGACUUAGUGUUUAAUGAGCACAGAGCUUCAGUUUGAGAAGAUGAAAAGUUCUGCAGAUGGACAGCGGUGAUGGCUGCACGACACCGUAAAUGUGCCCGAUGCCACUGAAUUGCACACUCAAAAGUGGCUAAAAUGAGUAAACUUAAUGUUAUGCAUAUUUUACCACAAUAAACAAUUUUUUUCUUCAUGUGGAAAUGUACCGUCUCAUAGACUCAGUUCCCUGCAAGCUCUCUCCGUGGGUCGGUGUAACCAUCCCCUUACUUCAGGGCAAUGCUGACCUACCCAGGACUGGAGAGUACUUAUCCUAUUUGCAGAUAUUUCCAGGGAAGGGAGCCCAUUACAUUAUUAGGCAAUCUUUUCCAGUGUCUCAAAACCCCAGACAUUCUUGGUACCAGACCUUUCCUGCUGCACCUGAAGUUAAUUUUUUCUUGGUCAGUAAGUGCUUUGUCAGCCCACUGACUCUUCACACACUCAGAGGCUCUUGUUACAUCACCCCCCUGCGUCCGAGCUGAGGGCACCAAGAACGGGCUCGUGGGUGGACUUCGAGGGCCUCGUGAGACUUCCUCUCAUGCUUGCGUCUCCCUGGCCUGAUGGAAGGAGCCCAGCCACCUCUCACCUCAUUUGAGAUGCAGUUGGUUGGGUACUAGGGUUUUCUCUUGCUUCUCCCCUCUGUACCCUUGUGUCGAAGGCCUUUUGCUGCCAGAGGGUGGAGAUCCCCAAAGGACAGGGGCAGACCCGAUGGCUCAUUUCAGCAAGCCCCUUGGCCUCCCCUUUGACCACAGACUGCAUGGCACCUUAAUCAGCUGCUUGGAAGGUAUACUUGGCAGGUAUGUUCUCCACGGCCUGGAAGAUGCUGACCUUGUCAGCUUAGAAACAUCAAAGGGCUAAUGAGGGAAAACAGGGGUUGAGAAAGACACCAUCACCUGGGUGCCUGUUGACCGCAGGCUUGCAAGACUGACACAGCUGAGAAAUGUUGUCAGGAACUCGGAGGAAGUGGAGCCUUCUCUGUUGUGAGGACCUGCUCCCAACCCCCCUCUGGGGCACAGGAAGGGGAGGGGGCGAAGCUAAAUGGUGGCCCAUGCUCAGUGACUCAGAUGUCACUGCCACCGCAAAGGGAAAUCCGUGUGGGGGUGGGCAUCUCCAGAGACCUCCCUCACCUGUGAUUCAGGGGAUAAUAACAUCACUCCUGUCAGCCUCGGGACAUUUGUCAAUGGGCUUGUGUUGAUGUUGACAUUUUUCAUUUCAACUCAUGGCUUAUAUGAAGGACUUGGCCUUGAGUAAAGGCUGAGCCCUGAGGAAGAAACAGCCCUCAUAUGUCCUGCAACUAGAGUGGAAAUGAGGAAGGAGAGUCCCUGCGGGUCAAUCCAGUAACUGGGGUUUCCUACGAGCUGGGUGAUGGACACUGACAUUAAUGCAGUUUGUGCAUCAUAAGGUGAUCUUGGUCCUUUGUGUUUCCCAGAGAACUGGGAACAGAGUGAAUCCCAGAUGCCCUGGGAGAAUUUUCAUUAUGUUCAGGGGGCUGAGGGGCUGUUCUCCAUCAUUUUGGGAAUGCUAGUAUUAGUAUUUGGUUGUUUUUGUUUCUUUUAAAAAAUCACCAUGUGUGGGUUUUCUUGUCGUAUUUGCUCCUAUCACAUCCUCCAACCCCCAGACUCACCCGCCUGAGGAGCUGGCUUCAGGAAACACAAAUCAUGUGCCGCAGAAGGUAUGGGAGCGGUUGCCCAGGUUUCGUGUGAAGAAAGGGACAGUAUCUGUGUUAUUCACCUGUGAAGUCCCAGGACCUUGCACGUUGCAGGCAUACAGAGGCUCCAAUUCAUAGUUGAUACAUCUUACAGAGAGGGGACAAUAGUCACAGAGAGUUCCUUCCAGUUGCCUGAUAUUCCGCAGCAAAUCGGCAACGAGGCGGGGAGGUGAACUUCCCCUUCCAACUCACAGGCCAGUUCUCUGCAGGAAGUCAUGCCUGUUUCUUUUUAAGCAUCCUGUGGAUGGCUUUGGGUGUCAAGUAGCUCUCCCGGAGGGGAAGCAGUGGACAGGCUUGAAGCUCAGGACUGGCUUUGAGACUGUGCCUCUGACAGAAUGGGCAGGGCUCAAAGGCCUUGAAGAGCCGGGAAGGCCCUUCCUGAAGCAAUCGGCAGGGGGAUCGACUUGGUCCUUGGGGCUGGGGUUCCCUUGGUCUAGAACCGCCAAACGGCCAAAUAUUGGGACUCCGGUUACUAGAGGUGCUCCUGGAAAGGGUCUUCUUGCAGCCUGGCCCUUGGAGCUGAGGCAGGGCUGGGCCCUCUCCUCUAGGACAGGCUCCAGAGAGCCCAGAGCAAAAGGGACAGUGCAUCUGCCUUGUUCCUUGGGGCUCUGUUCUCUUUCUCAAGGAGAAGGCUUCUUGCUUAUGCGUUUGUCAACUGGGUCGGGAAAGUCUCCUUCCCCAUGGACUGGAUCAGAACUUGAAUAGGAGGGAUAUCGUCUUUCCAAGAGUGCUCUGUACCUUGGGUUGACCAUCCUUUGUGUCCUGGUCCUGAGAUCAUGGGACUGAAGCGGGAACCGAACCGGGCUUUAGGACACCUUUGUUUGCCGGGCCUUGCUUCUAGAAAGCUAAUCUAGGACAACACCGGAGACUGUAGGCAGCUCCGGUCCUGCCCCAGCCCCGGUUCUUCAGACCUCCCCAGACUCAGACAUCCUUCCACACAAACUCUUGUUGUUCCAUCUGUGGCCCAAACAGCCCGAGGCCUGGGACAAGGGUGGUUUCGCUGAGGCCAUCAGAAAAGCUUACGAAGCGUGAUCGGCCGCUGGCUGGGCUCAUGCCGCCUCACUGCACUGGUGUGGCUGCCCCAGGUUCCCUAUGGGACAAUUAGCUCACCCACUUAAAGUCCAUCAAAGGACUUGUUCAAUAUUCCGGUCCCCUUUCUGUUCAUUUGCCCUGUCCUCCUGCCACCCUCUCCCACUGCCCCUCCUCUUUUCCAGCUCUCCGCUCCAUGUACGACAAGGACCCUGAGGCCUGGAACAGCUCACAGAGCUCGCUUUUCUCCAGCCAGGCUCCAUGGCUGCGAGGAGUGUGAAGGCGUUUUAGGGAUAAGUUGAGAGACGGUCAGAGAGUGCUGAGAAGUUACGCCUGUUUCUUCUUUCUUGUCCUUUCCCCCUCUGGGGCUGACAGACCAGAUUUUUUUUUCUUUUUUUACAGUACAUUUUGGCAAGCCCCAUUUUUUUCUGACAGAAAAAAAUAACAGGCAUAUUUUGGGCGAUUACUCAACUGGGGUCCUUUGUGACAGGAUAUGCAGCUGCGUGACUAAUGGAGCUGGCUUUCUCCUGGCUUCCUUCCCCUUUCAGAGCUCUUGUUUACUGCCCUAUACCAAAAAAAAAAAAAAAAAGCCAUAAGCUACAGAUUUUUAUAUAAAAAAAUGCCUUGUGAGAUACUCAAAGGCAAUAAAUCCUUUGGAUAUUCCAUUUCUAGGGCUGCAAACUCCCCGCCCUCUCCCACUUUUUCUUUUCAAAUGCUUAAGCUCUUGACUCACAACAUGUGAAUCUUCUUCUCCCACCCCCACGUCCCUGCUUUCUUCUGAACAUAUGUCCAGCAGAUCGUGUGUGUGUGUGUGUGUGUGUGUGUGUGUGUGUUUGGAGAGGAGAGCAAGAUGGGAACCAUAUUUUUGGUGCUUAACUCAGCAAUUGCUAAAGGAAGGAAUAAUGACUUCCAGGGGCCUCGGGAUCUUUUUUUCCAAGGCCUGUGUGUUUCCAUAAUCUAUGACAAUUUUGUGGUGUAAGCAAAAGUUAUUACAAAACAUAGAACUAGCCUAAUGAGGAAGGGUAUGUUCUACACAGGGAAGGACUGUCUCUUUAUAGAGGAAAUCCAAAUUUUGGCUGGCUUUGGAAUUGAGAAUCCUUGGGCUUCCCAUAGAACUUUUGGAAGAGACUCUCUUCAGCCUCUAGUGUUCGGCAACUGGGACUGACUUUUUAGUUUUUCCAGAGAUCAAAACAGCUUUUCAUUUCAGAAAGUGUCAGGCCUGUGGAUGGGAAAAACGAACUAGCUAGUCAGGUUUGAUGGAGACAGAUUGGUGUAGAUGAGGUGUAUGAUUUGUGGCCAAACGAUGAGUUUGAGGCUCAGUUGGGAUCUGGAAUAAGUCAUUUAACACCUGUAGGUCUCUGUUGCUCUCAUGUGAAAAUUGGGAUAGUGUCCCCUCCCCAUAGGUGGCUGACAACAAAAGUGAGAUGACAGAAGUCCAUGACAUGGGAGGGAAGUGUGAAGAAGUAUGCACAGUGACGCUUCUUCAUCCAAAGCACCACGCAAGCUUUAAACAGAGGAGAGAGGCUUGUUCCAUGACAACUGCCCACCAUGGGGACAGAGGCUUUUUUAUAUAGCGGCCCAGGACACAGUCUUCUGGGAUGUUUCUGAGGCCGGUAUCGCCUCCAAGUUUGCCAAGUCCCUAGUCAUCUUCCACAUGGGUCUCAGGAUCCUAACUUUGAUCACAGGCCUUUCCUCAUCAGGAAACUCUCAUCAAAACCAGACAAAGGCACCACUAACCUCAUCUUGCCUGCCUUUUCUUCUGUAGCUAGCUCAUCCUUUGCCCACACACUGCCCCAGAGAUGUGAACGCUGGAUGCGGUUUACUCUAGCCCUUGGUCCAACAUUUUCCCUGACGUUGCUUGGAGGCCCCCUCCUCCUUGACCCUCCUUCCAAUCCUCUUCCUGCUCCUCUCUGUUCAACCUUGCUCAUUUGUCAUUUCCUAGAAAAGGUCACUGAAAACUUAGCUUUUCUUAGAGUCUACACUGACUAAAGACCCCUCAAGUGGACACCCCAAACCCUCCAGCAAACCCCAGCAACUAUCUUUCUCACGCCCCAUAGCUCAAGUCUAACGUCCUUGGCAAAGGCAGUUGACUUGAUUUUGCCACAGGGUAAACUGAGGCACCAGUCAGGGAGCCAACUGGCCAGGGAUAACAUUGUUAAGUCUUUGACACAGACAGGAAUAGAAACCCCACAUCCUGAUUCCAGUUUGCCUGGAGCUUAAAGAGGCACCUUAGCUUGGAUAUCCCAGAAUAGUUUCUCCCAGGCUGACCAGCUGUGCCGUGAUGUGUUGCAAGGGUUAUUUUUUGUCUUGGCUUAGCUCUUAAAAAAACACCCCAAGCUUCCUAAAAUCGGCCUAAGAAAAUCCAUUUCUCACAAAGUCAUUUUCUUGCCAAGUAUAAACCUAGUAUAUUACAUCAUGGAUGCCUUUGGGCCUCACUCUCAGCUUACAACGACACUCAGGUAUCUGAAUUAAAUUCAGAAAUCACAGUUUAUUGAAGGAAACAGAUCAUUAAGUCACUCCACUGGACCGAAGCCGUCGACAUUGCUUAUUUGGAUAAGCCGAACGUUGAAUCAUGUUCUCUUGGUUCAGGCGGACCUGGACCUAGCCGGGCGCUAUUUAACGCCCAGGUGUGGCCAUCAGAUGGCAGAUGCCCAUGGGGGCUAAUGGGAAGAGGCAGAGGUGUGCAGGAGCUGGCUGGCAUUGGCUGGUUGUUAAAUUUUCAGGAAUUUUGUGGGCCGGUUGUUAAACACAGCCGUUAUGAAAAUUAAAUUAUAUAAACUUACAAUCGAAUACAUCGUAUUCAAAACAAAAGUAAUAAAUAUUAAAAAACAGAUCACAUCCUAAUUAUUUUUGCUUCAACUUACUAUUGUCCGUGCUUUUGAUUUACAUGUGUCUUACAUCCAUACGGCGGGAAUAUCGUACAAUGGUAUGUCGCCAUUCGUCUCUCCCCAACUCCACGUCCGGCCACCUCACAGUGGGAUGUUUGGAGUCAGCCACGGUGAGAAUAUUUAUGCCACAGAAAUUGGCAAACUCUACAAAUCAGGGCUUGCUUUAUUGUUUCGUUGAUCGUCUAGAUUUAAGAAAGUGAUACAGAAAACACUAACAAGGUAGGUAACCUAUAGAAGCGUGUCAUAUCUGUAGCAGUGAUGUUGUGAGUCACACAAGGAACUGAGGUAAUGUUCUUCCAGUAUCCAAAAGUAACCAUCCACUUCAACAGUUGCUCCGUUGUUGACCAAAGAGUGAAGUUCUGAAAUACGUCUUUGUUGUUUUACUGUUGUCUUACUUAUUAUUGUCAAUGAGAUGACCAACCAACAUUCAUGUCAGCUCUACUCUUGGAAAGCUGGCUGUUACACGCUUACCAUCGCCUCCUGGAAAGGAGUGUAUAUGGGCUGCUCUCUUGGGGGUCCCGGAGGGAAGACCACCAUAGAAUACCUGCAUCUCAGCAGUAAGGAGCAUGUCUGAGGGGCAGCUGGGGAAGAGGAAGGACUUAGUGCUGUGAAGGGACCAACACAGAUGAUCCAGUGUAGAACCAGCAGUCCGAGAUGAGCCCAUCUGAGCAGGAGUGUGGAAAAUAUAGUAAGAUAGGCUGGGUUGAAAUAUACCACUGGACACCAACGAGGUUAGACAGUAGAAAAGCCAUCGUGACUUCUACAUUCAAGGUGAGGAUCGAUACUGUAUAUUCACAGCGCUUUAAAGUUCUCAACGCCUUGUUUGUCCACGAGCUCAUGUGCCCACUGGAACAGAACCAGGAGGUCGAUGGGUAAAUUAGCUCUCAGCAUCAUACCCAUUUUACAGAUGGGAAACUGAGGCAAUUGGUGGCUAAGUAGUUCACCCAAGGUUACUCUCUCCAUAUCAAGGGCUAAGCUGGUGCUUGAUGGAGAAACAGGAAUAGUUCUUUGGGGUCAGACACAUCUGGGUUAAAAAUCCAACCUUGUUAUUUAUGUAACUUUGGUAAAGUUACUUUGCCCUUUAAAAUCUCUUUUUUUUAACUUACAAAAUAGGGACAACAAUGUCUAGGUCACAAAUUUGCAGUGAGGGUUGGUUUAAAUGAGAUAAUAGGUAUGGGGAACUGGUACUUAGGACACCGUUGAUAAAUGUUCAUUUCCUUCUCCCUCCUACCACAAUGUUUUAGAAUUAUUUAUAUUUGAUUUUGAAAUGAAGUAUAUGACUCUUUUGGCUAAUGUAUCUUUCUAAUUAUAAUUUUUAGGUUUAAGUGGAAUUAUUCUGCAUAGUUUUAGGCAAAACAAAUUAGAGGAGGUAGGGGCAGGGGCAGGGGCAGGGGCAGGGAGGAGGGGGGGUAGGCCUGAAGAGAGCUAGCCCAGGAUUCAGAUUUGGUAAAAGGCUCCCUCACUCACUGGUAAUGGGAGAGAAUCCACACACGCUGUCAUGUUCAGCAAGGCGUCUCUGUGCACCAGGACCUAGAGCUCCAGGUGGCCUGCCCCUUUCUUGACCUAGGCUUCCACAUCACCACCGGCAGAAGUGGGGAGGUGUGGCCUCUUAGUCCUCUGUCCCCUGAAACACUCACAGCCUCACCACCAUGCUUUGCCCUGGGACAAGGCCGACCCCACAGGAAGCACAGGCCUCAGGCCAUUCCUCAUCCAGUAGAGAGGCAGCCUUCUCACCCACCAAGGACACCUGCUCCUUCUGCCCAGAUUUACUUUUCUUCUUAGCACCUGUCUGUCUAUGCCAAGCUAUGUGAUUUAUAAAGCUGAACGCUCCACGAGGGCAAGGCUUUGUGUUGAUUUCAUUUGGGACCUAGAACAGUGACAGAGAACGUGGAAAGCUCUCACUUAAGUAGUUACUCAAAGAGUAAAAUGGGUCAUCACCUCACUGCCUGCCUCACCUCACUUCUCUGUUUCAAAUGAUAGUCCAUUCUUUGAUGGAGGUCGGUGGACUCAGAUUUGGCUCAGGCCUCACAAGCAUGAACUGUGGUGGUGGACGGUAUUCUCAGAGAUCUAAGGGGAACUCCAUGAAGAGUCAGGGUUCCCUGAGGUCGGGCAGCUGACUGACCCACAGGGACUGAACGAGGCAAUAGAGCUCUGUGGUUAAGAACGUGUGGGUUAAAAUCCGGCCCCUACCACUAUAGCUAUGUAAUCUUGAGCAAGUUAUCUUCUCCCUCUCUGAGUCUCAUUUUUCUUAUCUGUAGAAUGUGGAUAAAAAUAUCCGUGAGGUUAUGGCAUGGAUUAAUGGGAUAAAACAUGGUGUGCCCUUAGCACAAAGCCAGGCAUGGAGAAAGGGAGCCAGUAUCCCUCACCUCACAAAGGAGGUGGAAGACGGGGCAGAGGAGCACGGCCCGGGGAGCUAGGACAAGCCAAGCACGCUCACAGCCUCGGCUUCUGCAGACACAGCCAAAGCCUGACCAGCCUGGCAUGGGGCACUGCAAAGGGGCUUUGGAACAAUGACACUGGCCCAGGAGGAUCUGGCUGAGACAUGGAGCUGUCACCAUCACAACCUCGCCGGACCCAGAGGCUGCUGGCAUGACUCCAGUGACUUUGCGAAUGUAUGGUGGCUAACACAGAUUGAUCUCCUUGGGCAAAAGAAACACAAAGGCACCUCAACCCGUAGGAGAGGAUGCGUGCAUCCGCGUGCAUGCGGGAGGAUACCACGGCUGAAGCCAUAUCCAUGGUUAAAGGACACAGAGAUUCAUGCAAUGCACAGAGUUGAAGACAGCAGGGUUAAGAGCACAAGGGAGGAGAAAUGGGGCAAGUGGGGAGGGGAGGCCUCGUUUUCCUUGCACAAGACAGUCACGGUUUCCUUCUGAGGGGUGGGUACUCAGGGGGCAUUGAGGGCAGCGGGCGUGGUGAAAGGGCAGGAGAAGAGACAUCAAGGACAGGCAGUGACGUGUGAAAAGGUCAAGCCCACGUGAAGAGGACUGGGCAGGGGGAACAGGGCAAUUGGGGAGUGCACAAGGAAGCUACAAGCCUGUGCAGGGCCUAAUACACCAAUCACUAGGCGAACAGUCUGCCCCUGACUGAGUUCCCUGGGACCAGCCCGUUUUAGCCCAAGAGUCCCUCUUCUGCUUGGUGUUUUAAAUGCGGUGGGUGCUCAAGACUGUAUGAUAUAUGGGAAGGUGGAACUAGAAUAGGGGCCAGGAGAUUUAGUUUGAGGUUGCUGAAAUGUCAUCUUCUAGCUUCGACCUUGUGCCUCAGCUUCAUCUUCUGCGACACCUGGAGGACCAUGCCUGGCUCCCCCACCUGGUACUCACUGUCACGGUGAAUGAUAAGCACUGAAAGUAUGUAGUCAGUCUCACAGGCCUAUUAACCCCUGGGGCCUUUGAUUCCGGGCGCUCCUCAGACCACUCACUUCAGCUCCUCAGACCACUCACUUCAGCAAGCCCACCCGACUAGUUUGGCCCCACGAGAAGAGGGGGAGCUGCCCUGGUUGGUUCUGACCUCCCGCUGGCCUGCCUGCAAGUGGAGACAAAGUCCCUGGAUCCUGGGCGCUGAGGCUUAUCGAUCAGUCGAUGCAGCUCAGAACUAGGUGCGUGAACAGACGCCUGCGAAGCAGUCUGGACUCUUUGCUUGAAAGCCAUCCGAGUGAGCCAAAGGAUGCCUGCCCUCUCUGCAUUCCUCAGCAAGCACCGCCACCCCACCUCCCCACGCCUGCCUCGCCCUGGAAGCGCCUGUGCAGGUGUCGACACGUACACUUUUCUGGACGCUGGCUCUCCCCUGACAGUAUGCAACGCAGGUGCACAUUCCACUCUCCUGCAGUUACCUUUGCAACUGUGGACACGCCACAUUUCCUUAAUCUCCCGGGUCUUAGUUUCCAGAGCUACAGAGUAGGAGCCACUGACACUCUAAACCUCCUGCCUACUGGGAAAUCUUCCAAAAGCUAUUGUGGAAGUUGUAGAUGCUCUGGGACCGCUAUGGGCCAGCCUGAAUUCCCGCACCAAAGGCGGCCACUUCCCUUGUUCUGGUUCAGGGCCUUUGGGGUCCCCAACUGUCACCUACUGUGAGGGUCUAGAGCCAGCCUGCCAAGAUGGGGUUCUAGCUUCUACUUACUAGCUGUGUGAGCUGGGCAAGUCACUUUAACCUCUCGGUGCCUCUGUUUUCUCAUCUCUAAAAGAAAGAAUCGUGGCGGCAUUUACCUCAUAGGUUGUUACAUACAUAGCAUGAGCUCAUACCCUUAAGUUACGAGUUAACACAAAUGUGUGAGUUCAUUCGUGAGUGUAAAGUGCUUAAACCUGUGCCUGGCACACAGUAAGACUAAAUAAGUGAUACAUAAUAAUAACAGUUACUAUUAGCCAUUUUCCACCCCCAGUUAUUGCUCUGGUCCCAUUUUCCUGACUUGCUCACCAUAGCCUUAGGGCCCGGCCCUGUUUACCCUAGGCUUGCUACUACCAUGAACACCCCAAGACCUACGGAAGCAGUGGGUGGAAAGAAGGUUGCAUAAAGUAGGAUGGGAUAGGGGGUUGAGAAGAGAAUGUGGCUGCUCUCAGGGAGGGCCGGGGAGAUGAGAAUGGCCUAGAAAAUGGGAUAGGAGGAACAAUGCCUAGGCCGGCCUGCCGGGGGCCUGAUAGCCCGAUGCAGUAGCAGACUGUCUGUGGACUUGUUCUCAUAUCUGGGGUCCACCUGCACCUCUGUUUUAGGGGAGUGAAGCCUUAUCUUUGUGUUUCUCUCCCGGGGUGGGAAAUCAGUAAAUGACUCUUCAAUUGAACCACAUGUGAGAGUUAGCGUGCUAACCAGCAACUGUGGUCUGUGCAUCCCAACCCGAGGCCUUUUCUGAGUACUUCUGUCGCAAGCUGGCCCAUGAGGGAAUCAGGAAUCCCCUAGACACCCAAGCAAGCUCAGAGAAUAGGAGUGCUGUCUCAUGCCCAUCGGCCUAGACUCUAGGCCACUUCCCUCUGUCAUUUCUCACCUACCCCGUGGCACCGUGUUAGGUCUGAACCAGAUAAACCCCAAAGACUUGAAAUCUCCUCAAACUAUAUCUCCCCAGGUGUUUUUAGACCCCCCUCAAGCUCCCUCUAGAUGUUAAUAACACCCCAAUCCUGAAGAUACGGUCUUAAGGAAGGGGGCAGGAAAGGCUUGCCUUGUCUACCUGCUGCCUCUCUUCUCUCUCCCCUCUGCUUGUCCUCCUGGCCUGGAAGAGCUUUCUACUGUCCCUUCCUAUCUGGAGGAAACUUCCUCAGGCUACCUGCUGUCUUUUCGGCAUUAUGACUUACAGUAAAGUUCCGUUAGUAGGUUUCCUGGCUUUGCUCUUGUUAUGUAAAAGGCAGAUUUUAAAAUUUAGGAAUCCUCUUUCCACAAAGCCUCUAGCAGCUCAUGAAAGUCAGUGUGGACCUUCCAGGCUGAGCAGUGGCCCUCGUCCCAGAUGGUGUCCUCUCUGCAAGAGGAAGCAGUAACAAGACAUGACUCACAAAGGAAAGGAAAAUACAAUGGUUUAGGAUGUUCAUUGGUUUUAUCCCCGCAUACUGAGGAAAUGAAACAUGUAUCAUGAUGCUAUUUCUGUAUAAUUUGACACAUUUGAUACUUACGCAAACGUAUUUAAAGUAAAUAGGAAGGGCACACACUAAGUGAAAGUGAUCUUUCCUGAAUGGUGGAUAUAGAUCUGAUUUUCACCUCUGUUUUUUGGCUCAAACGUAUUUUCUACAAUUAAUAUGUUACCUUAAAGUAAAAAUAAAAGGACAAAAUGGAUGACUUCUGACAUUUUAUGUGAAAUAUUUUUUAAGAUUUUUUUUUAGUAAUGUUUAUUUCCGAGAGAGAGAGAGAGAGAGAGAGAGCACGUGCACGAGCAGGGAAGGGUCAGAGAGAGAGGGAGACGCAGAAUCAGAAGCAGGCUCCAGGCUCCAGGCUCCAAGCUGUCAGCACAGAGGCCGAUGUGGGGCUCGAACUCACAAACUGUGAGAUCGUUACCUGAGGCUGAAGUUGAACACUUAACUGACUGAGCCACCCAGGCGCCCCUUACGUGAAAUUUUAUAUGAAACAUAUAAAUGUAUAUUUCAUAAAUAAAUAUGUAGGAAUAUAUGUGAAUGAACAUUUUAUAUGUAAAAAAUUCUAUAUGCCUCUUCAUUUAUAUAAUUAAAUAUUAUACAAUAGAUAACAUAAUACAUAUAAUAUACAAUAUAAUAUAUACUAUGCAUUGGUAUAUAGGUGAUUAUUGAUAGAGAAAUACUGGAAGGGAUUACAACAAAAACUAUCAACCGCUUCCCAGUUGUGUUUUUCUGUAUUUCCCACGUUUUUUUUGCACUGAGCAUUUAUUACUUUUGUAAUUUGAAGGAAAAAAAAAAAAGCUGUGUGUGUAGGCGGUUCACUUUGGUGAAAACAAAACUUGUCAAGCUAUUUUCAGAUCAUCAUUUAUGCUUGUUCUCCUGGUAAGGUUAUCUGCUUUUCUUAGCAUGAAAACAAGCACCACUUCUUUCCUGUUCAACAGCUUCUAUAAGAUGGGCUCAGACCCUGAAGUCACUACAGGAUUUGAUGUUUCAGUCUGGCCAGAUCGGGCUUGUUCAGAGAACCGGUCAGCAUGGUCUGGUGGCCUGCAGACUAACAUCUAGGUUUGUUUACAAACGGCAAAAACCCCACAUGGUAGAGCACGUUCUGGGCUUCGUUUCCAUGCACGAAGAACUCUGUCUUGUCCGUGUUGCCUGUCUGGAGGGGAUGUACAGAGGAUUGAUCAGAAACACUGUUCAUAGGCCAAAGCGAGAGAAAGGUGAAAGACGGUCUGAAGGGGGUUGUUGAGGCUGCAUCCCAACUGUCCAGGCCCCUGGGGAGAUCAACAUGCUGGUCUCUUGGUGGUUUUCUAUCCCUUCUGAUCUCCCAGACUUUCCUGAUGCUUGCGUCGCUGUUUGCAAUUUGUCCUUUGCUUUCUAGAUUGUUCUGAGAGAAAACACUGAUUUCUCCAGUUGCAUUCUGGAGUGUAUAAAUAGCAAAGUUUCGGGUUCCCACCCUCUGUUUAUGGAUGUGCCCCAGGAACUUUUACUCAGUAUAUAAAUGGGCUCCAGAGAAAGAAAGGUCUUAAAGAGGCAGAUCUAGACUGUCUGGAACCUCUGGGCCCAGAUGGGUCCAUCCGCAAACAAGGACUUACUGUAUCUCCUCCUAGUCCCGUUGCCCUUGGAAUUCUCUGAGGGAACUUCCUCUCUGCCUAGAAUUUUGAAAUUCUCCGAUGGAAGUUUGAUGUAAUGGCAAAUGUACUUUUGAGGCCUCAGAAUGUUUUCCACUCUUCACCAAUCAACCUUCCACAAAGCAGUUUUUAAAUCCUUCCCUAGCACUAAUAAGGAUUGAGAAACAAUAGAGGUUUCAUGCUCUUGUCCAAAUUGCAUGGAAAGUUCCAGGGGCUCCAGGAGGGAAGGAUGGGGAGGAGAAUAAAAACAGAACAUCACGGUCUCAGGAUGUCCAGCUUAAAAUAUUAGCCUCUGAAACUCACUGCUUCUAACAUGUCACUGAGUCUGUAAAUACCAUUCUCAUCACCUGGGGUUGUAAAGCUAACAUUGUUUAGCUUUCUGGCUUUGCAUUUAUGGUUUUGUUCGAUUGCAGGACACUGUUCACCCAACCGCCACCUUCCAUGGGCCUUUGUGGGAUUCUAGGACUAUCAGGGACUGCCUGGGAAGGAAAACUCGUUCCGCCACUGCCCCCAAGAAGGGACCACCUGGGCUCACAGUCACCGCUCACCGAACAUUCCUAUAGUUCUUCCAGGUUAUGCAUUUUUGUGAUCACUUAACUAUCUUUUCGGAUAACCAAUCAAAUCUGUAAGUAUUGCCUUAGGGUCUAUAGUGUUCAGAGCGCUGGGGAGGCAUCCUUGGAGCACACAUUCUGAGAUAAGGUUGGGGGACACUCAGGCUUGGGGAGACAAAGGCCAAUACAUCUGAAACAGAGAACGUGUGUGAUAGUUUUCAAUAAGAAGGUAAGUUCUAUUUGUGUGUGGAGUUGACAAAAAGAGCCAUGAGUGGAGAAGGAGAGGGCAUGGAGACUCCAGGUUUCCCAGAGGUUUGGUCAAGAGUGGGGGAAGGGGAGAGGGUAGGACUGGAGCUGGAUCUCAGCCGAUGGGUAGCAUCUAGAUAGAUACUGUAAGCAGAGGGAAUGGAAGGAGCAAGGACAAAGAGCAGAGAUGGAGCAGGAUACAGGGCGAGUUUGUAGGUUUGGCCAAGGUGGAGUUCAUGGGGGAAGGCAUGGCAGAGCAGACUGGAACAGCGGUAGCGUAGGGCCACAUCACGGAAGGCUUUCAAAGCUUCCUUUUCACUAUAAGUUCCCGUGUGCUCUUUUCCAGAUAAAGACAUGUUACCAGCAAGGACUUGUCCCAAAAUCUGACAUUUGCUCCAGACCUCUUCCUCCUGCCUCGUCCCUCAUACUGACCCAUUAGUAACGCCCCCCAAAGCACUGACCAACCCAGGACAGGUGGUUUGCCCAGUUAUCAUGGGUGCCUCAUGGACAGUCCAGCCAGCUUUCCCUCAGCAGGGAGCUUCAUUUUGCCAACAGAGCUGGACUGGGAAGAGCCUG
RNAcentral lists this long non-coding RNA (33730 nucleotides) under Lynx pardinus (Iberian lynx). The record is from RNAcentral. Lineage: Eukaryota; Metazoa; Chordata; Mammalia; Carnivora; Felidae.